Molecule: transfer RNA, 59 nt
Filed under: Loxodonta africana (African savanna elephant)
Lineage: Eukaryota; Metazoa; Chordata; Mammalia; Proboscidea; Elephantidae
Rfam family: tRNA
About the family: Transfer RNA (tRNA) molecules are approximately 80 nucleotides in length.
Source: Rfam by way of RNAcentral
UAGUACAAAUGGUUAGUGCACUUGGCUGCUAACCAAAAGGUUGGUGGUUCAAAUCCACC